AUUGAACGCUGGCGGAAUACUUUACACAUGCAAGUCGAGCGGCAGCGCGGCCUUCGGGCUGGCGGCGAGCGGCGAACGGGUGAGUAAUGCAUCGGAACAUGCCCAGUCGUGGGGGAUAACACUUCGAAAGAAGUGCUAAUACCGCAUACGUCCUGAGGGGGAAAGCGGGGGAUCGCAAGACCUCGCGCGAUUGGAGUGGCCGAUGUCAGAUUAGCUAGUUGGUGGGGUAAAGGCCUACCAAGGCGACGAUCUGUAGCUGGUCUGAGAGGAUGAUCAGCCACACUGGGACUGAGACACGGCCCAGACUCCUACGGGAGGCAGCAGUGGGGAAUUUUGGACAAUGGGGGCAACCCUGAUCCAGCCAUUCCGCGUGAGUGAAGAAGGCCUUCGGGUUGUAAAGCUCUUUCGGCAGGAACGAAACGGUGGGCUCUAACAUAGUCCGCUAAUGACGGUACCUGAAGAAGAAGCACCGGCUAACUACGUG
Molecule: ribosomal RNA, 484 nt
Filed under: uncultured bacterium
Lineage: Bacteria
Description: partial 16S ribosomal RNA
Rfam family: Bacterial small subunit ribosomal RNA
Source: RNAcentral